AGUGAACGCUGGCGGUAGGCCUAACACAUGCAAGUCGAACGGCAGCACAGUAAGAGCUUGCUCUUACGUGUGGCGAGUGGCGGACGGGUGAGGCAUACAUCGGAAUCUACUUUUUCGUGGGGGAUAACGUAGGGAAACUUACGCUAAUACCGCAUACGACCUACGGGUGAAAGCAGUGGAUAUUCGGACCUUGCGCGAUAGAAUAGGCAGAUGUCGGAUUAGCUAGUUGGCGAGGUAAAGGCCCACCAAGGCGACGAUCGGUAGCUGGACUGAGAGGGUGAUGCACGACAGUGGUACUGAGACACGGACCAGACACAUACGGGAGGCAGCAGUGAGGAAGAUUGGUCAGUGGGCGCGAGCCUGAACCAGCCAAGUCGCGUGAAGGAUGACUGUCUUAUGGAUGGUAAACUUCUUUUAGACGGGAAUAACAAGAGUCACGGGUGACUCCCUGAAUGUACCGGAUGAAUAAGCAUCGGCUAACUCCGUG
RNAcentral lists this ribosomal RNA (487 nucleotides) under uncultured bacterium. RNAcentral describes it as "partial 16S ribosomal RNA". It matches the Rfam family "Bacterial small subunit ribosomal RNA", at positions 29 to 507 of the family's 1533-position model. The record is from RNAcentral.